UCAGACGAUGCGUCAUGCAUAUCAAUAAGCGGAGGAAAAGAAACUAACAAGGAUUCCCUUAGUAACGGCGAGUGAAGCGGGAAGAGCUCAAAUUUGAAAUCUUCAAGGUUUUACCUUGACGAAUUGUAGUUUAAAGAAGUGUUUUCUGUUGAAGUUUUGGUAAAAGUUCUUUGGAAUAGGACAUCAUAGAGGGUGAGAAUCCCGUAUUUGACCAUUAUUUUCAGCUGUGUGAUACACUUUCAAAGAGUCGGAUUGUUUGGGAAUGCAGUCCAAAAUGGGUGGUAAAUUUCAUCUAAAGCUAAAUAUUGGCGAGAGACUGAUAGCGAACAAGUACCGUGAGGGAAAGAUGAAAAGAACUUUGAAAAGAGAGUUAAACAGUACGUGAAAUUGUCAAAAGGGAAGCGUUUGACACCAGUGUUGUUUUCUCGAAAAUCAAUUAAAAAGAGUUGGAUUUUGUGUUGUAUUGACCUUAACAGCUUGCUUCACUCUUUUCCUGCUUUUUUUAAUGCACUUUUCGUUUAACAAGUCAACAUCAGUUUCUUUUGUUGUAAAAGGGUCAUUGGAAGGUGGCUUUCUCUUCGGAGAAAGUGUUUAUAGCCUUUGAUCUCUGCAAUCGGAGAGACUGAGGUCUGCAGCGUAGAUCCUUCGGGGUUAGAUACAUUUGUGCUAAGCUACAGCUUUUCAUAGACAACUUGUUGACUAUGUUUAGUCUUGUAACUUACCCGCUUAUGCUAUUUUACCUACGCUUAGGAUGUUGAUAUGCAUGACUGAUAU
This 774-nucleotide ribosomal RNA is filed under the name uncultured Neocallimastigales. Its description in RNAcentral is "partial large subunit ribosomal RNA". It matches the Rfam family "Eukaryotic large subunit ribosomal RNA", at positions 18 to 635 of the family's 3401-position model. The record is from RNAcentral. Lineage: Eukaryota; Fungi; Neocallimastigomycota; Neocallimastigomycetes; Neocallimastigales.